RNAcentral lists this unclassified non-coding RNA (3275 nucleotides) under Leishmania donovani. RNAcentral describes it as "gene:LdHU3.17.1910(CDS-product:translation_initia tion_factor_putative)". Lineage: Eukaryota; Euglenozoa; Kinetoplastea; Trypanosomatida; Trypanosomatidae. The record is from RNAcentral.
AAGUAAUAGGUAGACACGAUAACGGAGCACCCGCCACUCUUCACGCUGAGUCUGCGUCUCUCUCUCUCUGUGUACAGUGCCGUUGCUCUUCUCCUCUGCCUACGCUCAUCACCGUCCUACACACGCGCACACCAGACCACCACCACCACCAUCCCUCUUACGACUCUCACGGCUCCUUUUCUUUUCGUCUGUUGCAAGGCAACCACAGCCACAACCGCAGCAGCAGCAGCAGCGAUGACGGACGUCAACUUCGGUCGGCACAUUAUUAUCGAUGGGCUCCCUAACAAUGUCACUCCCGAUAAGCGCGACCUCUUCCAGCGCCACUUCUCGCGGCGCAUCGGGGAGCUGCUCGGCGGUGAGAAGUUCAGCCUGCAUCUCCUGACGGAUCCGGAGACAGCGCUCCUAUCGGGUGCAAUCCUCAGCUGUGUGACAGAGGCUCAGGCGGAGGCGGCGCUGGCGAAGCUGAAUCGCUUCCCCUUCACCAAGUCUGCCGUGCUCACGACGUACCGCUGGAGCUCACUCGAGGAGGCGCGCAAGGACGAUGGCCCGUACGUGCCGCCGCCUAUGGCGAACGACGAUGACGAGGAGGAGGCGGAGCUGGUGCACAAUAUGGCUGAGGACCCGGAUGCGCGUCCGCAGUUUUUGAUCAAGUCUGGCGUAUCCUUCGACUGCGACUGGUAUUGGUUCAACUGGGAGAAGAAUGAGCCGGAUCUGUACCGCCGCCGCAAGAUCAGCAAGGACGACCCGCUCUGUCGCUGGUCCGAGGUGGACCGGGACAACAAGAAACUGAGCUCCGGCAUGGUGUGCAGUGCACUGCCGGUGUCACGCCCGCUGCCGGUGUGGUCUACGUACGGCUCCAUGGUGAUCUCGCAGCACGAAAAGGGCCUGCGCGUGUGGGCCGGCCGCAGCAUGCGCCUCCACUUCGAGAUCACGAUGGACAUCAACGCCUUUAUGGUGUCUCCGUGCGAGAAGUACAUCAUUGUUCAGACGCCGAAGGACAUCAGCAUCAUCAACCUGCGCACUGCAAAGAAGAUCCGCACCAUCGGAAACCUUGACCUGCACAGCGAUGACCUCUGGCCUAUCAUGCGUUUCAGUGCUGAUGAUUCCCUGGUGGUGGUGUGCAAGACGGGCUACCGCCCCAUGGACUCGACCGAGGUGCCGGAAGGCCACCUGAACAUCUACGUCUCCGAGACGAUGAAGCUGCUCAAGGGCCGCGGCAGCUCCGGCCAUAGCUUCGCCAUCCCUGGCCUGUACAAGGCGGAGUGGAACCCGGUGGUGGGCACGCAGAUGGCGUACGUCUGCGAGCUUGGCCCGAACCAAGGCUGGAAGGCUGUUGUGGCUGACAUGGUGGUGAACGAGGACGGCGAGGUGGAGCAGCGCGUGCUGAACGAGCGCAACUUUCUGGUGGCAACGCGACUGGACAUGCUGUGGCACCCGGCAGGUACCUUUCUGUGCGUGAGGGUGGCGUCGAAGGGGCCGACGGAGUACUUCCUUUUCCACGUCGCGGAGCGCAACGUGCCCAUCACUCGCCUCUCCAUCAAGCGUGGCUACAUCCCGACCCGCUUCGCGUGGCAGACCGGCGGUGACAAGUUUGCCGUACUCCUGAAGCGCGAUGGCGUCGGCGCCGGCCUUGGCGAGACCGGCGUGCUGCAGAUCUUCAUGAUCGGCAAGCAAGGCCCCAAGGUGCUGCACGAGGUGGCCACAUCGGCGACGCAUCUGUUCUGGGCCCCCCGCGGCGGGCGACUGGCGGCUGCCAACUUCGACAAGUCAUUGCUGCACUUCUUCGUGCUGCACGACAACAACACCAUCACGGACAAGAACAAGUUGAGCGGCAUCAGCGCGACGAACUGUGAGUGGGACCCGACUGGCCGCUACUUCGCCGUGUGGGUGUCGUCGAUUCACGAGCAGACGCUCGCCCCACAGUACCGCAUCUUCGACUACACCGGCAACGAGCUAUUCAAGAAGGCCAUCAAGCCCCUCUCGCACUUCGCCUGGCGCCCGCUGCCGCCCACUCUGCUCACGCAGAGCGACGUGAAGAAGGCGCGCGACAUGAUAAAGACCCUCGUGCGCGACUACGAGGCUACCGAGAUGGCGCAUAAGGCUGAGGAGCAGGAGCGCAUCGAUAAGGAGCGCAAGUCGAAGGAGGAGGACUACAUCAAGCGCAUGAAGAUGGCUGCCCGCUAUGCUGAGGAGAAGGGCAUGGUGCAGACGCGUGAGGAGCAGCGCGCUAACUCGAAGUGGGUUCGCUACAAUAACAACCGCCUAAAGGCACUGCCGGACGAGGAGCACAUGGUUCACGAGGACGUCACGGAGUACCACCUCGUGUCGCGUCGCCAGGUCGGCACGGGUGUGGCGAAGAAGUAAGGCUUGGCGAUCGACGACGGAGGAAGAAGAGGCGGCACAGUGCGUGACAACGUCGGCCGAAGGCGUUGUUACGGCGAAGCUGGAGAAAACGAAAAGGCGGACGGGGAAUACGCGAACACCAGGCGAAAAGGGCACGACAGUGGCCGGAGAGGGGCAGUGUGUGUACGGUGACGCACACCCAUCAUCCUGCACACGCGCACACACCCAUGCAUCGUCCACGCUCUCACGAACUGCCUCCCUCCAGCUCGUCAUGCUCGUCUUCCCAGCGUUGAUCUCUUCCGUUUCCGUUGUGCCCACACACGCCGCGCACACAUGCGCCGUUUAUGUGUGCGUGUGCACACGUCUCUGCGUUCGCGCCCUCUUUCUCUCUCCCCGCUAUGUGUAUGUGUAUGUGUGUGUGUAUGCCUUUGACGGCCUGUGCCGUUGAUGUUGCCCGUGUCCCGACGGCGUGCGUGUCGGCGUGUUCACGUGUACGUAAGUUAUGUGCGAUUUGUCGUUAUGAUAUAGUCUUCUGUUCAUGAGGUUAACUAAACCGUGGCGUUGCUCCACUGGUGUUGUGCGGCUCGCUCUCCCCCGGCCCCAUUCUGUGCAUGGGAGUGGAGGCGCGCGGGUGAGGUGGCGGGGCACGAUACGCGUUGUGCUGUCCGUGCUGUCCUUCCUCUCUCUUGCUGGUUUUGUUGUUGAGGCUGAGGUGUUUGUACUCGUUGUUUUUUUUUUCUAAGAAACUUGGCGCGGGGUCACAAGCACUUCCACGCACGAACGCUGGCAACACACGCAGUUGUGCAGGUAGGUGCUUGUGUGGGCGUUAGCGGUGGUUCUUUUCUUCACCGAACACGUGUGAGUGGCAAGCGGUCGGCUGCGCUUCUCUCGCACUUGUCUCUCCACCUGCGCGCCUUCUAACCGACCUAAUG